UUAAGCGACUAAGCGUACACGGUGGAUGCCCUGGCAGUCAGAGGCGAUGAAGGACGUGCUAAUCUGCGAUAAGCGUCGGUAAGGUGAUAUGAACCGUUAUAACCGGCGAUUUCCGAAUGGGGAAACCCAGUGUGAUUCGUCACACUAUCAUUAACUGAAUCCAUAGGUUAAUGAGGCGAACCGGGGGAACUGAAACAUCUAAGUACCCCGAGGAAAAGAAAUCAACCGAGAUUCCCCCAGUAGCGGCGAGCGAACGGGGAGCAGCCCAGAGCCUGAAUCAGUAUGUGUGUUAGUGGAAGCGUCUGGAAAGGCGCGCGAUACAGGGUGACAGCCCCGUACACAAAAAUGCACAUGCUGUGAGCUCGAUGAGUAGGGCGGGACACGUGGUAUCCUGUCUGAAUAUGGGGGGACCAUCCUCCAAGGCUAAAUACUCCUGACUGACCGAUAGUGAACCAGUACCGUGAGGGAAAGGCGAAAAGAACCCCGGCGAGGGGAGUGAAAAAGAACCUGAAACCGUGUACGUACAAGCAGUGGGAGCACGCUUAGGCGUGUGACUGCGUACCUUUUGUAUAAUGGGUCAGCGACUUAUAUUCUGUAGCAAGGUUAACCGAAUAGGGGAGCCGAAGGGAAACCGAGUCUUAACUGGGCGUUAAGUUGCAGGGUAUAGACCCGAAACCCGGUGAUCUAGCCAUGGGCAGGUUGAAGGUUGGGUAACACUAACUGGAGGACCGAACCGACUAAUGUUGAAAAAUUAGCGGAUGACUUGUGGCUGGGGGUGAAAGGCCAAUCAAACCGGGAGAUAGCUGGUUCUCCCCGAAAGCUAUUUAGGUAGCGCCUCGUGAAUUCAUCUCCGGGGGUAGAGCACUGUUUCGGCAAGGGGGUCAUCCCGACUUACCAACCCGAUGCAAACUGCGAAUACCGGAGAAUGUUAUCACGGGAGACACACGGCGGGUGCUAACGUCCGUCGUGAAGAGGGAAACAACCCAGACCGCCAGCUAAGGUCCCAAAGUCAUGGUUAAGUGGGAAACGAUGUGGGAAGGCCCAGACAGCCAGGAUGUUGGCUUAGAAGCAGCCAUCAUUUAAAGAAAGCGUAAUAGCUCACUGGUCGAGUCGGCCUGCGCGGAAGAUGUAACGGGGCUAAACCAUGCACCGAAGCUGCGGCAGCGACGCUGAUGCGUUGUUGGGUAGGGGAGCGUUCUGUAAGCCUGUGAAGGUGUGCUGUGAGGCAUGCUGGAGGUAUCAGAAGUGCGAAUGCUGACAUAAGUAACGAUAAAGCGGGUGAAAAGCCCGCUCGCCGGAAGACCAAGGGUUCCUGUCCAACGUUAAUCGGGGCAGGGUGAGUCGACCCCUAAGGCGAGGCCGAAAGGCGUAGUCGAUGGGAAACAGGUUAAUAUUCCUGUACUUGGUGUUACUGCGAAGGGGGGACGGAGAAGGCUAUGUUGGCCGGGCGACGGUUGUCCCGGUUUAAGCGUGUAGGCUGGUUUUCCAGGCAAAUCCGGAAAACUAAGGCUGAGGCGUGAUGACGAGGCACUACGGUGCUGAAGCAACAAAUGCCCUGCUUCCAGGAAAAGCCUCUAAGCAUCAGGUAACAUCAAAUCGUACCCCAAACCGACACAGGUGGUCAGGUAGAGAAUACCAAGGCGCUUGAGAGAACUCGGGUGAAGGAACUAGGCAAAAUGGUGCCGUAACUUCGGGAGAAGGCACGCUGAUAUGUAGGUGAAGUCCCUCGCGGAUGGAGCUGAAAUCAGUCGAAGAUACCAGCUGGCUGCAACUGUUUAUUAAAAACACAGCACUGUGCAAACACGAAAGUGGACGUAUACGGUGUGACGCCUGCCCGGUGCCGGAAGGUUAAUUGAUGGGGUCAGCGCAAGCGAAGCUCUUGAUCGAAGCCCCGGUAAACGGCGGCCGUAACUAUAACGGUCCUAAGGUAGCGAAAUUCCUUGUCGGGUAAGUUCCGACCUGCACGAAUGGCGUAAUGAUGGCCAGGCUGUCUCCACCCGAGACUCAGUGAAAUUGAACUCGCUGUGAAGAUGCAGUGUACCCGCGGCAAGACGGAAAGACCCCGUGAACCUUUACUAUAGCUUGACACUGAACAUUGAGCCUUGAUGUGUAGGAUAGGUGGGAGGCUUUGAAGUGUGGACGCCAGUCUGCAUGGAGCCGACCUUGAAAUACCACCCUUUAAUGUUUGAUGUUCUAACGUUGACCCGUAAUCCGGGUUGCGGACAGUGUCUGGUGGGUAGUUUGACUGGGGCGGUCUCCUCCUAAAGAGUAACGGAGGAGCACGAAGGUUGGCUAAUCCUGGUCGGACAUCAGGAGGUUAGUGCAAUGGCAUAAGCCAGCUUGACUGCGAGCGUGACGGCGCGAGCAGGUGCGAAAGCAGGUCAUAGUGAUCCGGUGGUUCUGAAUGGAAGGGCCAUCGCUCAACGGAUAAAAGGUACUCCGGGGAUAACAGGCUGAUACCGCCCAAGAGUUCAUAUCGACGGCGGUGUUUGGCACCUCGAUGUCGGCUCAUCACAUCCUGGGGCUGAAGUAGGUCCCAAGGGUAUGGCUGUUCGCCAUUUAAAGUGGUACGCGAGCUGGGUUUAGAACGUCGUGAGACAGUUCGGUCCCUAUCUGCCGUGGGCGCUGGAGAACUGAGGGGGGCUGCUCCUAGUACGAGAGGACCGGAGUGGACGCAUCACUGGUGUUCGGGUUGUCAUGCCAAUGGCACUGCCCGGUAGCUAAAUGCGGAAGAGAUAAGUGCUGAAAGCAUCUAAGCACGAAACUUGCCCCGAGAUGAGUUCUCCCUGACUCCUUGAGAGUCCUGAAGGAACGUUGAAGACGACGACGUUGAUAGGCCGGGUGUGUAAGCGCAGCGAUGCGUUGAGCUAACCGGUACUAAUGAACCGUGAGGCUUAACCUU
RNAcentral lists this ribosomal RNA (2902 nucleotides) under Escherichia coli. RNAcentral's name for it is "bacterial LSU rRNA". It matches the Rfam family "Bacterial large subunit ribosomal RNA". The record is from RNAcentral. Lineage: Bacteria; Pseudomonadati; Pseudomonadota; Gammaproteobacteria; Enterobacterales; Enterobacteriaceae.